Non-coding RNA from Arachis ipaensis, 2554 nucleotides. The record is from RefSeq and is a predicted model, not a curated record. NCBI's taxonomy places the organism in Eukaryota, Viridiplantae, Streptophyta, Magnoliopsida, Fabales, Fabaceae.
CCCUUCCCCAAUCUCUCUCUUUCAGUUUCAAUGCCGAUGAAUUUCGCUACCUUCUCCACGCCGUUUUCUGUCGUUGCUCGUUAAAGCUCGUCAGCGUCGUCGCCGCCGCUGCUACCUCUUCUUCUCGUCGCCGUUGGUUCAGGGUUUUAUUACAGUGACAGAUAUGGCAAGCUUUCUGUGAACGAACUCCCUUCAUUCUUCUCUUCUUUGUUUCUUCCCUAUGACUGUCUUCUCCUAUGGAGGAUUACUUUUUAUACAUUGAUGAUCAAAAAUCCUGAUAAGUGCAUGCUUUGAACAAACUGCCUUAUUCUAAGCUUUCUUCGAAGUCUGUUGGAGUCAAGGAUGGGGUUGUUUUCUCAACUUACAUUAGCCUCAUAGCAUCCUCUGAUAAGGGUCAAUCUCGUCUCAAACAACUUGUGCAGUGGUGUGGGCCAAAGUUUGAUGGUCUUAUAAUAUUCGAUGAGUGUCACAAAGCGAAAAACCUGAUGCCGGAAGCUAAAGGUGGUAUGCAGCCAACACAAACUGGCAAAGCAGUGCUUGAUAUGCCGGAAGCUUGGUAUUUUCUUCAAUUUCAACACUCAAGAGCAUCAGCUAUAAGCACAUUAAUUGUGAAGCCUUACUGAUCUUCUGUUGCUUGUUUAUUGACAGCUACUAAGUUGGUGCCUAUGGAUUUUACUAAGUUGGUAAAUUAAUUUGGUAUAAGAAAAUAUGCAUGCGCUUUUCAGUCAAAUAAUGAGCCUUUCAACCUUUAAAUCCUUAUGGUUAUUUGUUAACAUUCUCUUAAAAUGCUGAUUCUCUUAUGCAUUCUUGUUGUUCUGUCAAGCAAGGCAUCUGAAGCGGUUGAGUAUCAUUAUGUGAAUGCAAGUGAUCUCAACUUGUUGGAGGCACAUGAAGCUGAAGCGUCCUUAGCUGGAAGGGGUGCCUACACUCUUAUGGUGGGACUCACCCUUAUUCAAACUGCUGCCGCUAAUAAUUCGUGCCAAGUAGGGCUGUGCUACUCAUCCAAGAAGCAUUGCAGAGAGGGUUAGAAGAACUAAAAUUAGUGAGAGAAUGAGGAAACUACAGGAUCUCGUCCCUAACAUGGACAAGCAAACAAACACGGCAGACAUGUUGGACUUGGCUGUUGAUUACGUCAAAGAACUUCAAAACCAAGUUGAGACUCUUUCGGACAGUCAAGCCAAGUGUACGUGUGCACACAAGAAGCAGCAAUAACGAGAAGAGAAGAGAAGAGAAGAGGGAAGGGAUAGUGAGAUAUGAGAUAUGUGAGAGACACAAUCUCUGUACAGAUUUGUAAUAAUUUGGCCUAAACAACAUCAUCAUAAGAGAGCACCUUUCUCUCUUAUUACUACUAAGAGUUCACAUUUGAGGCUCCAAAUUUUAUGAUCAUGAUGAUGAUAAUGCCACAUAAGCAAAAUCCAAAGGGAAAUUUGUGUUUUGGGGGAUUGAGAUUACAUGCAUGAUGAUGCAUCUUCAUUAUCGUGGGACCAAUGAAUGCAGGAACGUCAAGAUCGGGUGUUCAUUGGCAUUGGCAUGGCAAGCAUGCAUGCAUGCAUGGGGGGACCAACUUCGCAUCACAUGACAUGGUUUCAAUUUCUUGGUUCAUCAUACACUACUUAGCUUGUAAUGAGAGAGAUACCACCCUCCUCCUCCCUUCUUAUGUGAUGUGAUGAGAGAAUAAAGAUUAAUGUACCUCCAGAUACCAUGUUUGUUUAUUGUUACUACUACUACUACUUCCUUGGAGUUUAAUGGAUAAGGAAGCUUGCAGACAAGAUUGCAGCUUCUGGUUACUAUGUGGUUGUUCGGGGCUUCUUUUAUGGUGAACCCUAUGAUCCUCAGAAUACUAAUAGACCUUUAGGAGAGUGGCUAAAAGAUCAUGGAACGUUCCUGCUGCGAUUCGAUCCUCUGCUGAUUGGAAGAACACUAGGAAGAACAAGAAGUGCAGAAGGAGGAACACUGAAAAAAGCAGCAUAACAUGUCACCAUAAACAUGCUGCUUCUUCUUCUUCUUCUUCUUUUCAGGAUGUAUGGUGUGGCCCUGGAAUUGGAUUCGCAUCAGAUCAUGCUUCUGCUUCUGUGGAUUGUGUGGUGGCAAGGAAGAAUGCUUCUGUGGAUUCUGUGCAUUACAUGUUCCAAAUCUGCUAUUGCUAUUUGGCAGCGUCCAUGAUCUUUAAAAAGAACUAACCCUGAGAAAUCUAUGGAAGAGUUCCAAAUUGUUGCAGGCAGAUACUUGAAAUUUAAUCAAAAGUAACUGCAGUGGUAAUAAUUUCUUUUUGGUUCUUUUUUCUAAUAACUGUAGUGUAGAUCGGAUACAGUAAGGUAGACAUCCUCUGCUCAGAAAGUGAGAAGCAGCGAAUAAUUUUGAUGGACCAAGAAUCUCAAGAAGCAAGUAUAUUGCCAUCAUCACUAAGAAGUUCAAGAAAGAAUGAAGCUAUCCAUAUAUUAGGAUAUUGAAUCUUGAUGAGUCCACUAGUAGUUAUUUGUCAUCUAAUGUAUUUAGAUUGUAUUAUUGUAUGGAAAUAAUUGCUUCUUAUUAUAAAGAAAGCGUUUUGUACUCA